This 85-nucleotide transfer RNA is filed under the name Felis catus (domestic cat). It matches the Rfam family "tRNA". From Rfam's summary of the family: Transfer RNA (tRNA) molecules are approximately 80 nucleotides in length. Their secondary structure includes four short double-helical elements and three loops (D, anti-codon, and T loops). Lineage: Eukaryota; Metazoa; Chordata; Mammalia; Carnivora; Felidae. The record is from Rfam by way of RNAcentral.
GCCUGGGUGACUCAGUGGGUUGAGUGUCCGACUUUGGCUCAGGUCAUGAUUUCAUGGUUUGUGAGUUCGAGCCCCGCUUCAGGCU